This 1456-nucleotide ribosomal RNA is filed under the name Kocuria sp. CMGS1. RNAcentral describes it as "16S ribosomal RNA". It matches the Rfam family "Bacterial small subunit ribosomal RNA". The record is from RNAcentral. Lineage: Bacteria; Bacillati; Actinomycetota; Actinomycetes; Micrococcales; Micrococcaceae.
GCUCAGGACGAACGCUGGCGGCGUGCUUAACACAUGCAAGUCGAACGAUGAUGCCCAGCUUGCUGGGCGGAUUAGUGGCGAACGGGUGAGUAAUACGUGAGUAACCUGCCCUUGACUCUGGGAUAAGCCUGGGAAACUGGGUCUAAUACUGGAUACUACCUCUUGCCGCAUGGUGGGUGGUGGAAAGGGUUUUACUGGUUUUGGAUGGGCUCACGGCCUAUCAGCUUGUUGGUGGGGUAAUGGCUCACCAAGGCGACGACGGGUAGCCGGCCUGAGAGGGUGACCGGCCACACUGGGACUGAGACACGGCCCAGACUCCUACGGGAGGCAGCAGUGGGGAAUAUUGCACAAUGGGCGGAAGCCUGAUGCAGCGACGCCGCGUGAGGGAUGACGGCCUUCGGGUUGUAAACCUCUUUCAGUAGGGAAGAAGCGAGAGUGACGGUACCUGCAGAAGAAGCGCCGGCUAACUACGUGCCAGCAGCCGCGGUAAUACGUAGGGCGCAAGCGUUGUCCGGAAUUAUUGGGCGUAAAGAGCUCGUAGGCGGUUUGUCGCGUCUGCUGUGAAAGCCCGGGGCUCAACCCCGGGUCUGCAGUGGGUACGGGCAGACUAGAGUGCAGUAGGGGAGACUGGAAUUCCUGGUGUAGCGGUGAAAUGCGCAGAUAUCAGGAGGAACACCGAUGGCGAAGGCAGGUCUCUGGGCUGUUACUGACGCUGAGGAGCGAAAGCAUGGGGAGCGAACAGGAUUAGAUACCCUGGUAGUCCAUGCCGUAAACGUUGGGCACUAGGUGUGGGGGACAUUCCACGUUUUCCGCGCCGUAGCUAACGCAUUAAGUGCCCCGCCUGGGGAGUACGGCCGCAAGGCUAAAACUCAAAGGAAUUGACGGGGGCCCGCACAAGCGGCGGAGCAUGCGGAUUAAUUCGAUGCAACGCGAAGAACCUUACCAAGGCUUGACAUUCACCGGACCGCCCCAGAGAUGGGGUUUCCCUUCGGGGCUGGUGGACAGGUGGUGCAUGGUUGUCGUCAGCUCGUGUCGUGAGAUGUUGGGUUAAGUCCCGCAACGAGCGCAACCCUCGUUCUAUGUUGCCAGCACGUGAUGGUGGGGACUCAUAGGAGACUGCCGGGGUCAACUCGGAGGAAGGUGGGGAUGACGUCAAAUCAUCAUGCCCCUUAUGUCUUGGGCUUCACGCAUGCUACAAUGGCCGGUACAAAGGGUUGCGAUACUGUGAGGUGGAGCUAAUCCCAAAAAGCCGGUCUCAGUUCGGAUUGAGGUCUGCAACUCGACCUCAUGAAGUCGGAGUCGCUAGUAAUCGCANAUCANCAACGCUGCGGUGAAUACNUUCCCGGGCCUUGUACACACCGCCCGUCAAGUCACGAAAGUUGGUAACACCCGAAGCCGGUGGCCUAACCCCUUGUGGNANGGANCCNUCNAANGUGGGACUGGCNAUUGGGACUAA